ACGACCACAUCACUUAUUCCCAUCCGUUCUGCAGGUGAGCUACUGCAACACAUCAAGCCAAGCUCGAAAAUUGGCAAAAGAAGGCCUUCAUUUGGCCAGGUAGCAGAACGCGGCAAGGAGGUAGCAUUGUUCUGACGAACACCUUGUUCUAUUAAUGUUUCAGCCUGUAGAAGCCUACCAUCCACAAUAUCUGCGAGCCUGGCUGGAAAUGCUUCAGAAACCCACUUCCUAAGGCUCAUGUCACCAACAAACAUGGCAUCCGUAGGCCUCUUCCCGGUGAAGACUUCGAGCAACAUGAUCCCAUAGCUGAACACAUCGCUCUUUCGUGAUGCUUUUCCCAUAAAUGCAUAUUCUGUUCAAUGAAUGAUUUUUAAAAGAAAGAAAGAGAUAAACUAAAUUAAGUCUCUUACAUAACUCAAAUGGUAAAGCAAAAUUCUCAUGAAUAGUAAGUGCAAG
This 456-nucleotide long non-coding RNA is filed under the name Oryza sativa (Asian cultivated rice). RNAcentral describes it as "long non-coding RNA (OSAT_LNC000062)". Lineage: Eukaryota; Viridiplantae; Streptophyta; Magnoliopsida; Poales; Poaceae. The record is from RNAcentral.